UCUAAACACAAACAGACAAAUUGAUGAACAUUGUGAUUAAAAUCGUCCGUCUGAGGGCAUUUCUCUCACCCGGAUAUUUCAGGAAACAUUAAACCCUUCAGUAAUUCACUGAUCGUAGAUCCCAUCACUGUCAAUGUCCCUCACUGCCCAGCUCCAAUGAAUUCACCGAAUGUCAGUAAUUUCGUCUGUCGGUGUGACCCUGUAAACUCCACAUAUUCUCUCUCAUUCCCUAAUGGAUAGAAAAGUGUUCCUGAUGUGAGACAGUCGGAAAGGGCAGGUGUGAAGGGGAGAAGUCAAACAGUGAGGAAGAUUUGAGAAUCGGGAAAUGUCGAUGGGAGAUGGAGGAAGAGACAUCACCUAAGCAUUACAUCAACAAGAUGUGACAACAAGAACGGGAGAGAGGGGAGAGAGAGAGCAAAAACAAAUGGAUGGCGGGCAUCACUGAAUUGUGGCUGACAAAAGUUUAUAGUUGGGUGCUUAAAUCCAAGGAUAAAUAUUGAAUCGAAAGGAUACGCAGCUGCGUGGAUCAGCCAUUGCUCUGAGACGGAACUUUUCACACGGACUGAGAAAAGCACAACACCAUAGAUGCGUCCUCUUUUGUAAAAUGCAUCCAUGAAUAUUUUAGGAUUAAGACAGACAAGAGAAAAAACAUUCUAUUGAUUUUAAUUACUAAUUAAAGGAUAGGAUAAAAAUGUAGUACAACAAAGAAAAACUUUCAGGUUUCAUAAACGUUUAUACGACAGUGUUUAAUUCCAUCUGCGCUGCAACAAAGGCUCCGUUUGCGGGAGCAUUUUGGUUCUGCAGACACGCAGUGCAGAGGGAACAGUGACGGGUUUCUCUCUCCAGAUUAUCCUACCUUAUAACAGUGUUUUGUCCACUGCCUUGCCAGCGACAACCUGUUGUUACAAACAUGCAGAUCAUCAACAAUCAGGCUCAGAUCUCAUCCGUGUGCAUAUUCGAGAUGGGUGAGGGUUUGCUUAAAUGGGAAAUGUAUUAAAUGGCCUCUUUGUUAGGUACAACUCUAUACCAGCUCAUUAAUACGAAUCUGUUAAUCAUCUGCUUGCAACUCAAAGCACAAGCACAUGCAGAUAUGGUCAACGGGUUCAGUUGUUAUUCAGGCCAAACAUCUGAAGAGGAAAUAAAUGUGAUGUAAGUGACGUUGACCGGGGAAUGAUCGUUGGUGCCAGACCGGGUGGUAUGAGGGUUACGGAAACUGAUCAGCAGCUUGGAUUCUCAAGUAUAAAUCUCUCGGUUUACUGAGAAUGGUCCGGAAUCAAACCAAAGGAAAAUCCAGUGAACAGCGGUUCUAAAGGCCCCGUUAAUGAGAGAACUCAGUGAGAUUGGGCAGACUGAUUAAAUCCGACAGGAAAGCGGCAAGAACUCAAAUAACCACGCACUCCAACAGCGGAGAGCAAGAGAGCGUCACUGAGCACCGAACAUAGAGACCCAACACUGUCUCCUCCCGUACUUCAAAAUACCCUAUACUCCGUGCAGAUGGACUUUAAACACCCUCCACAUGUCAGAUGUGGACUUGCCAGUGUUACGAAGGAUGAACAGCUCUGAUGGGCAGAAGGGUGCAGAGUUGCCCAUCUCCC
This is a long non-coding RNA of Hypanus sabinus (Atlantic stingray), 1595 nucleotides long. RefSeq lists it as uncharacterized. Lineage: Eukaryota; Metazoa; Chordata; Chondrichthyes; Myliobatiformes; Dasyatidae. The record is from RefSeq and is a predicted model, not a curated record. The transcript is spliced from 3 exons.